GGAAAGGAUUCCUUAUCAGCAGACAGUUACAGCUCCCACUAGGACACUGCCUUCUCAGCGGCUUCAGUUAUCAGAUAUUCCUGGACAUACUUUCCAAGCCAUGAAAAAUAACCAGAGCCACAGCUUUCCCAGCACUCUGACAAACAUCCAUGAGCCCCCAAAGACCGGGAAGUAAUGAUGAUGCAGCUGCGGCACCAUAGAAGAAACAAGUGAUUUCAGUCAAAGGGCCUGGACUCACGAGCUAGCAACUUUGGACAGAUUCUUGAACUCUCAGCCUCAGUUUCUGCUUCUGUAAAGGGAGAUAACUACAGUGACCUUCAGGUUAUCUUGAAGAUGCCAAUGAGCUAGUGAAAAUGCAAUUUAAUCUGUACAGAACUAAACAAAUGCUCUUUUAAUACAAAUUAAUUAAAAGCAGGCAUCUUAAGAGGUGGCUUAAGAAGACUCCUGCAUCAUCAUAGGGAGUUAAAAUUCUGAGCAAAAAGCCUUCUGGAGGAGAAGCAUAGGACAGGCAGCCCCAAGACUGGACUGGAUAGAUGUUGCUGAGCCACCAACUCUCUGAGGGACCUGAGACAAAGCCAGGUGACCUCACCAGUGCUCCAUGUUCUCACCAUAAGUUCUAUAGGACACUCAAAUAUUCUCAGGACAUCAGUUUACUAUACACAUGCACACACACAUAUUUUACAUUUCAUUCAAAGGGUAAAACAUAGACUCCCUUUGUUCUAUAAACCUACAAACAUGUCUGAGCAUUUUUUACAUAAAUAUUUCACAAAUAUUUUACAUGAAUACUUCGACUUAUAAGUCCAUAUUUUAACAAUGGCAUCUUUUCCAAUGUGUACAUUAUGGAAGUGUGGUUGGGGUGUACAGCCUAGGAGCUCAGGGACUGCACAGGCCUGUUCUUUAUGGAUGCAUUGCAUUCAUCUCCCACAGCCAUUUGUAGCUUCAGCUGUUUCUGAAAGCAGCCACUUUCCCUUUUGAUGUCUGAGGUCCAUUAUUUUCAUUUUUGACUUAACCAACAGGUGUUCUCUCUUGAACUCUUUCCUACAUGAGCUGUCUUGCCUCAGGGUUCCCACGGACAGGAGAGUUUUUCCUACAGUGUUACUGAGAGGCACAGAGAAAUCAGUUCCUCCUGGUCCACUGGCUCCGCUCUCAGCACUGCAGUCUCUUGUGACCACGCUGAAGUCUCAACGUUUCCCCCUUCUGAGGACAUGCAGGGACAGAAGGGUGAACCACAAGGGCCAGACCUAAUGCUCCAGGAAAACAAUGAAAGAACAAUUUUCCAUCCUUUUAUUUAGGGCUUAAGUAAGCCAGGCCUGUAACACCAAAUUGUGAGAGUGCACAAGAUGUUUUUGAACCUUGGUGCAGAAUCCAGAAAGAAGUGCAGCCUCUGGUGACAGGGUCUUGGGCUAGCCAUGUGAAGCCUGGCUUUAUGUCAGGCCUCUCAAAUGUGCUGUACAAACCUACCUGCAGGUCUACUCUAGGCAGAAGGGGUGGACCGAUGGCACCAACAAACACAUCUGUACACACAACAGUGCAGCAGACACUUGUGGAUGGGGUAUGAGACAAGCUGUAGAUGCCCUCAAUUAAAUCUGAGGACAAAAGAAGACUGCCCAGAGAGUGGCACUAGCAUGGCAACAAAAUAUUUCAAAAUAUUAAUGGGUUUUACAUACACGCAUAAAAUCACAUUUUUCUGACCUUAUAACACAUUUCAGUCAUUUAGGUAUUGAGUUUGUAAUGCUUGUGGAUACUCGAAAAAUUGAAAGAGGCAAAGUUAGACUUCUUGUCCCCAAGACUGGAAAUAUGUCCCUUCGUUGGGAGUUGGGUGGUGUUGAAUGCAGUUGGGGUGGAAGGAGAGGAGAGCUAAUGGGAAAACAAAGAAUAAGUAAAUGUUCUACAUUCCUGAGAAAAGGGGCCCUGCCCCCUAGCCAUCUCUGCAGCAAAGCCCUGGGGGAGAGAGAGAGAAUGCUCAGACAUGUUUGUAGGUUUACAGAACAAAGGGAAUCUAUGUUUUACCCUUUGAAUGAAAUACAGGAAAGCAAAAUACCUAGAGCAGAAAUGGCUGUGUGACAUGUCAGACAAGGUCAUAGAGUUUUCCAUGGCCCUGCACUGCCCGUGGCUCAUGUGGCAUGACUGUAGGUGAAACCCAGAAUGGACUCUCAAGGUGCCCUGGGCUCCCUUCCUCAAUGGCUGAAGAAGGCUUCUCUUGACCUAAUGGAGUUUAAAGAGACUUGGGGAUAUAGUGAACUAGACCCCAGAAGCCUUUCAAACAGGAACUAGGGGGCGCCCACCAGGACCUUGUGGACUGACAGUGGAGGCUCAAUGAGACAAAAUGUGUCAUGGAGAUGCCUUCAGGACAGACAGCAUUCGGGAACAGAUACCAGCUCCUUACAGUCUUGGCCUCCAGAUUAGACAUGGCCCUGGAAAAAGGUGAUGGGGGACCUGGAAUUACCAGACAGCAAUUCCGUUCCCCCACUUAGUGGAAUGGGAGCACAACAUGUAAAUUAAAGGAAUUAGAGAAAAACA
Molecule: long non-coding RNA, 2520 nt
Filed under: Homo sapiens (human)
Lineage: Eukaryota; Metazoa; Chordata; Mammalia; Primates; Hominidae
Description: PREDICTED lncRNA (TCONS_00200874)
Source: RNAcentral